This is a long non-coding RNA of Papaver somniferum (opium poppy), 880 nucleotides long. RefSeq lists it as uncharacterized. NCBI's taxonomy places the organism in Eukaryota, Viridiplantae, Streptophyta, Magnoliopsida, Ranunculales, Papaveraceae. The record is from RefSeq and is a predicted model, not a curated record. The transcript has 2 exons.
UGAAUCGUCUGGAAUGUAGAUUUUUAAUGAAUCUAGUAUGGUGUCAAUCCUGAAAAUUCCAAUUCUCAGAAGUAUCGAUUCUCUUUCGUUGAUUAAACUUUACUUUAAAUAAACUUCUUUUGAUGUUGUUCUUCAUCAAACCUCUGUUGGUUGGAAAUUCACGGAGUUCGAUCGGAGUUGUGGUUACUAAUGGUUCUUGAUGUGAAGUUUGAUUUGGACCUGAUGCUUCACUGCUACGUCUUCAAACAGAAUUAAGCAUAAUUCUCAGAUUUGGAAUUUGGUUUAAAUCACUUGAGCUCUUAGGAGAUUUAGGUUUCCAAUUCGUUUUAUUGGAACUUGAUUCUUCUAUCUCAACUGCUUAAAUCGAAUCAAAGUUGAUUGAGUCUGAAGAUGUUCUAGUCAGCUACACCAAGGUCUAAUUUAGACGAAAACUUAAAUUUGUUCCACUGAAUUGGAUUCAACAGAAGGUUGAGAGUUUGUGGGUGAAAAUGAUGUUGCACAUAGUGCUUAACAGAUCAUUCUUCAUACUUCCAAUCUCAAUUCUUAUUUCAAAGCAGUCCUCACUGCGAUGUUGAGUAUCUUGCACCUUUGAUGAUGUUUCUGAGUUUGGACAUCGAAUUGGAGUUGGUGUGUGUACUAGAUCAGAGAAUGGAGUUCUCUUUGUUGAGUCUACAUUAAAUUCCGAAUGUAGCUUGGUGUCUUUAUCUUUUACUAUCAUGUUUGUUAUUUUGAAUGAAUAAUAUAAGUUCCAGCUGAGAUUAUGUUGUGACUACAUCAAUAGAAUAAGUGGAAAGAUUGGAUAAGUGACUCUUAGUUCUUGAUGUUGGCAAGAGGUAUUGAGUAUUGCAGCUAUAAAGUUCUAUGGUUGUGUUGGUUGUUA